This 276-nucleotide long non-coding RNA is filed under the name Amborella trichopoda. RNAcentral describes it as "long non-coding RNA (ATRI_LNC000687)". Lineage: Eukaryota; Viridiplantae; Streptophyta; Magnoliopsida; Amborellales; Amborellaceae. The record is from RNAcentral.
CUGAGUAUGAAACUCCGGGGGCCGACCUCCAAGCUUUUCGUGAGUUUCAGCGUGAAUAUUCAAGUAUCAUCCUAUAAACCAAGCAUCAUUAGAUGAGACCGCUAUAGUUUUUCAUUCAUCCCAAUACAAAGGGUGAUCAGUGAUGCUGCAUUUGGCAUGCAUAGAUAAAGGAUAGCCUAAAAAAGGGGUAAAUCCCAAUAUAGAUAGAUCAGCCGUGAAACAUUGAGUUGAGGUUCGAAUUUGACCUGCAUAUUUUCACUCCAACCAGAUUUUGCU